GAUAAAAUAGUUAUUUUCAAUCCCUUUACAAUUAAACUGAUUAAAAUAUGAAGUACAGUAAAAUAUGAAAAUAUUGCCGUAGUUGAAGAGUGUGCUGUGGCAAAGCUGCUCUUUUUUUUUUAAUGUCCUGCGGCAAAAACCACGAUUGAAUGAUGCCGAGCUAAUUUUGCCUUUACCUUACGCCCCAGUCGAGAUCCGGCGACCUGCGAUGGGAAUAGCAAAUCUGAGGGCGCGUGCGGCUCCGGCGACCUCGAGCGGGCGGAGCUUGUCUUGACUACUCCGCGUGCGGCUCCAGCGAGCUGGCGUGGGCGGCGGCGGGCCGAGUGGUGUGAAGCAGCGCAACGGAUGCGCGUGCCGGGUGGAGCGGAGCGUCUCAUCGGCAGGUGCGGGUUCCGGCGUGCUCACAUGGGCAGCGGCGUGCAGGGAAGAGCAGAGCGGCAUAGCUCGACUCGGGGCAGUGCCCGGCGCGGAGGUGCUCCUCUAGGUCUCCGCCGGUGUAUAGUCGCGUGAGGAGAUGGGGCUCAGCUGGGGCCGCGCCAGGGUGCGGCAGUGCGAGGAGGAGCUCGGCAAGGUCGCCGUCCCCGGGAGCAAUCCAGCCUAUUGCAGAUGCUCACGCAGCGGCCGCAUGCCUAGCGUAGCAGAGCGGCGCAGCUGCAGGUGUGACAGCAAGAUUUGCGUUUCCAGCCAGGAUCGCGGCGGCGGCAUUUGGUAACUGUUAGCUGUUUCCAGUUUUCCGUAUAACUUAGCUUUUCUUCUGGAAGCUCUACGAGAAAUUGAGAAAUUUGCUGUUUGUUGGAGCUUCAGACUUUUCACGCCGAAAAGCUGACAGCUCAAACAAAUAGAGCCUAAAUAAACCUACAAAUACCAAUAAACCUACAAAUACCUA
Setaria italica (foxtail millet) is the source of this 886-nucleotide long non-coding RNA. RefSeq lists it as uncharacterized. NCBI's taxonomy places the organism in Eukaryota, Viridiplantae, Streptophyta, Magnoliopsida, Poales, Poaceae. The transcript has 2 exons. The record is from RefSeq and is a predicted model, not a curated record.